This 252-nucleotide ribosomal RNA is filed under the name uncultured bacterium. RNAcentral's name for it is "partial 16S ribosomal RNA". It matches the Rfam family "Archaeal small subunit ribosomal RNA", at positions 474 to 727 of the family's 1478-position model. The record is from RNAcentral.
UACCAGCACCCCGAGUGGUCGGGACGAUUAUUGGGCCUAAAGCAUCCGUAGCCGGUCCUACAAGUCUUCCGUUAAAUCCACCUGCUUAACAGAUGGGCUGCGGAAGAUACUAUAGGGCUAGGAGGCGGGAGAGGCAAGCGGUACUCAGUGGGUAGGGGUAAAAUCCUCUGAUCCACUGAAGACACCAGUGGCGAAGGCGGCUUGCCAGAACGCGCUCGACGGUGAGGGAUGAAAGCUGGGGGAGCAAACCGG